This is a long non-coding RNA of Oncorhynchus kisutch (coho salmon), 4863 nucleotides long. NCBI's taxonomy places the organism in Eukaryota, Metazoa, Chordata, Actinopteri, Salmoniformes, Salmonidae. The record is from Ensembl.
AUGGUUGUAGUUGAGGCGAGGGUUGGGGUUACGGUUGUAGUUGAGGCUAGGGUUAUGGUUGUAGUUGAGAAUAGGGUUGGGGUUAUGGUUGUAGUUGAGGCUAGGUUUGGGGUUAUGGUUGUAGUUGAGGCUAGGGUUGGGUUUAUGGUUGUAGUUGAGCCUAGGGUUAGGGUUGUAGUUGUAGUUGAGACUAGGGGUAGGGUCAUGGUUGUAGUUGAGGCUAGGGUUGGGGUUAUGGUUGUAGUUGAGCCUAGGGUUAGGGUUAUGGUUGUAGUUGAGGCUAGGGUUAGAGUUAUGGUUGCAGUUGAGGAUUGGGUUGGGGUUAUGGUUGUGGUUGCAGUUGAGGCUAGGUUUGGGGUUAUGGUUGUAGUUGUAGUUGAGACUAGGGUUAUGGUUAUGGUUGUAGUUGAGACUAGGGUUGGGGUUAUGGUUGUAGUUGAGACUAGGGUUGGGGUUAUGGUUGUAGGUGAGAAUAGGGUUGGGGUUAUGGUUGUAGGUGAGACUAGGGUUGGGGUUAUGGUUGUAGUUGAGACUAGGGUUGGGGUUAUGGUUGUAGUUGAGACUAGGGUUAGGGUUAUGGUUGUAGUUGAGACUAGGGUUAGGGUUAUGAUUGUAGUUGAGACUAGGGUUGGGGUUAUGGUUGUAGUUGAGACUAGGGUUGGGGUUAUGGUUGUAGUUGAGACUAGGGUUAGGGUUAUGGUUGUAAUUGUAGUUGAGACUAGGGUUAGGGUUAUGGUUGUAGUUGAGACUAGGGUUGGGGUUAUGGUUGUAGUUGUAGUUGAGACUAGGGUUAGGGUUAUGGUUGUAGUUGGGACUAGGGUUGGGGUUAUUGUUGUAGUUGAGACUAGGGUUGGGUUAAUGGUUGUAGUUGAUACUAGGGUUAGGGUUAUGGUUGUAGUUGUAGUUGAGACUAGGGUUGGGGUUAUGGUUGUAGUUGGGGUUAUGGUUGUAGUUGAGGCUAGGGUUAUGGUUGUAGUUGUAGUUGAGACUAGGGUUGGUGUUAUGGUUGUAGUUGGGGUUAUGAUUGUAGUUGAGGCUAGGGUUGUGGUUAUGGUUGUAGUUGAGGCUAGGGUUGGGAUUAUGGUUGUAGUUGAGGCUAGGUUCGGGAUUAUGGUUGUAGUUGAGCCUAGGGUUAGGGUUAGGGUUGUAGUUGUAGUUGAGACUAGGGUUAGGGUCAUGGUUGUAGUUGAGACUAGGGUUAGGGUAAUGGUUGUAGUUGAGACUAGGGUUGGGGUUAUGGUUGUAGGUGAGAAUAGGGUUGGGGUUAUGGUUGUAGGUGAGACUAGGGUUGGGGUUAUGGUUGUAGUUGAGACUAGGGUUGGGGUUAUGGUUGUAGUUGAGACUAGGGUUAGGGUUAUGGUUGUAAUUGUAGUUGAGACUAGGGUUAGGGUUAUGGUUGUAGUUGAGACUAGGGUUGGGGUUAUGGUUGUAGUUGUAGUUGAGACUAGGGUUAGGGUUAUGGUUGUAGUUGGGACUAGGGUUGGGGUUAUUGUUGUAGUUGAGACUAGGGUUGGGUUAAUGGUUGUAGUUGAUACUAGGGUUAGGGUUAUGGUUGUAGUUGUAGUUGAGACUAGGGUUGGGGUUAUGGUUGUAGUUGGGGUUAUGGUUGUAGUUGAGGCUAGGGUUAUGGUUGUAGUUGUAGUUGAGACUAGGGUUGGUGUUAUGGUUGUAGUUGGGGUUAUGAUUGUAGUUGAGGCUAGGGUUGUGGUUAUGGUUGUAGUUGAGGCUAGGGUUGGGAUUAUGGUUGUAGUUGAGGCUAGGUUCGGGAUUAUGGUUGUAGUUGAGCCUAGGGUUAGGGUUAGGGUUGUAGUUGUAGUUGAGACUAGGGUUAGGGUCAUGGUUGUAGUUGAGACUAGGGUUAGGGUAAUGGUUGUAGUUGUAGUUGAGACUAGGGUUGGGGUUAUGGUUGUAGUUGGGGUUAUGGUUGUAGUUGAGGCUAGGGUUAUGGUUGUAGUUGUAGUUGAGACUAGGGUUAUGGUUAUGAUUGUAGUUGAGGCUAGGGUUGGGGUUAUGGUUGUAGUUGAGGCGAGGGUUGGGGUUAUGGUUGUAGUUGAGGCUAGGGUUAUGGUUGUAGUUGAGGCUAGGGUUGGGGUUAUGGUUGUAGUUGAGGCUAGGUUUGGGGUUAUGGUUGUAGUUGAGGCUAGGGUUGGGUUUAUGGUUGUAGUUGAGCCUAGGGUUAGGGUUGUAGUUGUAGUUGAGACUAGGGGUAGGGUCAUGGUUGUAGUUGAGACUAGGGUUAGGGUUAUGGUUGUAGUUCAAGUUGAGACUAGGGUUAGGGUUAUGGUUAUGGUUCAAGUUGAGACUAGGGUUAGGGUUAGGGUUAUGGUUGUAGUUGUAGUUGAGACUAGGGUUGGGGUUAUGGUUGUAGUUGGGGUUAUGGUUGUAGUUGUAGUUGAGACUAGGGUUAUGGUUGUAGUUGAGACUAGGGUUAUGGUUAUGAUUGUAGUUGAGGCUAGGGUUGGGGUUAUGGUUGUAGUUGUAGUUGAGGCUAGGGUUGGGGUUAUGGUUGUAGUUGGGGUUAUGGUUGUAGUUGAGGCUAGAGUUAUGGUUGUAGUUGUAGUUGAGACUAGGGUUAUGGUUAUGAUUGUAGUUGAGGCUAGGGUUGGGGUUAUGGUUGUAGUUGAGGCGAGGGUUGGGGUUAUGGUUGUAGUUGAGGCUAGGGUUAUGGUUAUGGUUGUAGUUGAGGCUAGGGUUGGGUUUAUGGUUGUAGUUGAGCCUAGGGUUAGGGUUAGGGUUGUAGUUGUAGUUGAGACUAGGGUUAGGGUCAUGGUUGUAGUUGAGACUAGGGUUAGGGUCAUGGUUGUAGUUGAGACUAGGGUUAGGGUUAUGGUUGUAGUUGAGGCUAGGGUUAGGGUUGUAGUUGUAGUUGAGACUAGGGUUAGCGUCAUGGUUGUAGUUGAGACUAGGGUUAGGGUUAUGGUUGUAGUUGUAGUUGAGACUAGGGUUAGGGUUAUGGUUCAAGUUGAGACUAGGGUUAUGGUUAUGGUUGUAGUUGUAGUUGAGACUAGGGUUGGGGUUAUGGUUGUAGUUGGGCUUAUGGUUGUAGUUGAGGCUAGGGUUAUGGUUGUAGUUGUAGUUGAGACUAGGGUUAUGGUUAUGAUUGUAGUUGAGGCUAGGGUUGGGGUUAGGGUUGUAGUUGUAGUUGAGACUAGGGUUAGGGUCAUGGUUGUAGUUGAGACUAGGGUUAGGUUUAUGGUUGUAGUUGUAGUUGAGACUAGGGUUGGGGUUAUGGUUGUAGUUGGGAUUAUGGUUGUAGUUGAGGCUAGGGUUGGGGUUAUGGUUGUAGUUGAGGCGAGGGUUGGGGUUAUGGUUGUAGUUGAGGCUAGGGUUAUGGUUGUAGUUGAGGCUAGGUUUGGGGUUAUGGUUGUAGUUGAGGCUAGGGUUGGGGUUAUGGUUGUAGUUGUAGUUGAGACUAGGGUUAGGGUUAUGGUUAUAGUUGAGACUAGGGUUGGGGUUAUGGUUGUAGUUGAGACUAGGGUUAGGGUUAUGGUUGUAGUUGAGACUAGGGUUGGGGUUAUGGUUGUAGUUGAGACUAGGGUUGAGGUUAUGGUUGUAGUUGAGACUACGGUAGGGGUUAUGGUUGUAGUUGUAGUUGAGACUAGGGUUAGGGUUAUGGUUGUAGUUGAGACUAGGGUUAGGGUUAUGGUUGUAGUUGAGACUGGGGUUGGGGUUAUGGCUGUAGUUGUAGUUGAGACUAGGGUUAGGGUUAUUUUUGUAGUUGAGAUUAGGGUUGGGGUUAUGGUUGUAGUUGAGACUAGGGUUGGGUUUAUGGUUGUAGUUGAGACUAGGGUUAGGGUUAUGGUUGUAAUUGUAGUUGAGACUAGGGUUGGGGUUAUGGUUGUAGUUGGGGUUAUGGUUGUAGUUGAGGCUAGGGUUAUGGUUGUAGUUGUAGUUGAGACUAGGGUUAUGGUUAUGGUUGUAGUUGAGGCUAGGGUUAUGGUUGUAGUUGAGGCUAGGGUUGGGGUUAUGGUUGUAGUUGAGGCUAGGUUUGGGGUUAUGGUUGUAUUUGAGACUAGGGUUGGGGUUAUGGUUGUAGUUGAGACUAGGGUUAUGGUUAUGGUUGUAGUUGAGACUAGGGUUAGAGUUAUUGUUGUAUUUGAGACAAGGGUUAUGGUUAUGGUUGUCGUUGAGACUAGGGUUAGAGUUAUGGUUGUAGUUGAGACUAGGGUUGGGGUUAUGGUUGUAGUUGAGACUAGGGUUAGGGUUAUGGUUGUAGUUGAGACAAGGGUUGGGGUUAUGGUUGUAGUUGAGACUAGGGUUAGGGUUAUGUUUGUAGUUGUAGUUGAGACUAGGGUUAUGGUUAUAAUUGUAGUUGAGGCUAGGGUUGGGGUUAUGGUUGUAGUUGAGGCUAGGUUUGGGGUUAUGGUUGUAGUUGAGGCUAGGGUUGGGGUUAUGGUUGUAGUUGUAGUUGAGACUAGGGUUAUGGUUAUGAUUGUAGUUGAGGCUAGGGUUGGAGUUAUGGUUGUAGUUGAGGCAAGGGUUGGUGUUAUGGUUGUAGUUGAGGCUAGGGUUAUGGUUGUAGUUGAGGCUAGGGUUAUGGUUGUAGUUGAGGCUAUUUUUGGGGUUAUGGUUGUAGUUGAGGCUAGGGUUAUGGUUGUAGUUGAGACUAGGGUUGGGGUUAUUGUUAUGGUUGUAAUUGAGACUAGGGUUGGGUUUAUGGUUGUAGUUGAGACUAGGGUUAUGGUUAUGGUUGUAGUUGAGACUAGGGUUGGGGUUAUGGUUAUGAUUGUAGUUGAGGCUAGGGUUGGGGAUAUGUUUGUAGUUGAGGCGAGGGUUGGGGUUGUGGUUGUAGUUGAGACUUGGGUUAGGGUCAUGGUUGUAGUUGAGACUAGGGUUAGGGUUUAUGGUUGUAGUUGUAGUUGA